GCAGCAGAUCUCAUAGCGGUGGUGAACAGGCAGGGAGCAGCGCAUAGGGAGGAGGACGUAUGUCGAUUCGCCAAGGUGCUUGCAAAAUUGAAGGAAACGCUGCAAGGGACAGCUUUUAGAUAUUUCGGGGCCUGCCAAUUAGGGCUCCGUUCAGGGUCGAUUACAUCAGGUUUUCAUUCACUGUGAAAUAGAGCCUGCAAUUUAUCCCACAAGAUGGGCAAUCGGGGAAUGGAGGACUUGAUUCCUCUGGUAAACAGACUGCAGGACGCCUUCUCUGCCAUCGGACAAAAUGCCAACCUGGACCUUCCUCAGAUCGCAGUGGUCGGUGGCCAAAGUGCUGGGAAAAGCUCGGUUCUGGAGAACUUCGUUGGGAAGGAUUUUCUGCCCCGUGGCUCUGGUAUUGUCACUCGGCGCCCCCUAGUGCUGCAGCUCAUCAACUGCCCUACUGAAUAUGCUGAGUUUUUGCAUUGCAAAGGGAAGAAGUUUACAGAUUUUGAUGAGGUUCGUCAGGAAAUUGAGGCAGAGACAGAUCGCAUCACUGGCCAAAACAAAGGCAUUUCACCAGUCCCUAUCAGUCUGCGCGUCUAUUCGCCUCAUGUUUUGAAUCUCACCCUUGUGGACUUGCCUGGUAUGACCAAAGUGCCGGUAGGGGACCAGCCGCAUGACAUUGAGUUUCAGAUCAGGGAUAUGCUAAUGCAGUUUGUGACUAAGGAGAACUGCUUGUUGCUGGCUGUGUCUCCGGCCAACUCUGACCUGGCCAACUCAGAUGCCCUCAAGAUUGCCAAGGAGGUGGACCCUCAGGGUAUGAGAACUAUAGGUGUGAUCACUAAAUUGGAUCUAAUGGAUGAAGGAACCGAUGCACGUGACAUUCUGGAGAACAAGCUUCUUCCUUUACGUAGAGGCUACAUUGGGGUUGUGAACCGCAGUCAGAAGGACAUUGAUGGCAAGAAGGACAUCACUGCUGCAAUAGCAGCGGAGAGGAAGUUCUUUCUCACCCAUCCAGGCUACCGACACCUGGCCGAUCGCAUGGGGACUCCGUACCUGCAGAAAAUUCUUAACCAGCAAUUAACUAACCACAUCCGAGACACUCUGCCAGGACUGAGGAACAAGCUUCAGAGCCAACUACUGUCCAUUGAGAAAGAGGUGGAGGAGUACAAGCACUUCCGCCCCGAUGAUCCUUCUCGCAAAACCAAGGCUCUGCUACAGAUGGUGCAGCAGUUUGCGGUGGAUUUUGAGAAGUGCAUUGAGGGUUCAGGAGAUCAGGUGGACACAGUGGAGCUGUCUGGAGGUGCGAGGAUCAAUCGCAUCUUUCAUGAGCGCUUCCCCUUCGAGCUGGUUAAGAUGGAGUUUGACGAGAAAGAGCUGCGUAAGGAGAUCAGUUACGCCAUCAAGAACAUCCACGGUAUCAGAACCGGUCUGUUUACUCCAGACAUGGCCUUUGAGACUAUUGUUAAACGGCAGAUUGGAAAGAUCAAAGAGCCAUGUCAGAAAUGUGUGGACCUUGUCAUCACUGAGCUGGUCAAUACAGUCAGGCAGUGCACCAAGAAGCUGGCUCAGUACCCCAUGCUUAGAGAGGAAAUGGAGAGGAUUGUCACCCAGCACAUCCGAGAUCGAGAGAGUCGCACCAAGAAUCAGGUCAUGUUGCUAAUUGACAUCGAGUUAGCCUACAUGAACACCAAUCAUGAGGACUUCAUCGGUUUUGCAAAUGCCCAGCAGAGAAGCAGUCAGAUGAAUAAGAAGAAGGCUGCUGGCAAUCAGGAUGAGAUAAUGGUGAUCAGAAAGGGUUGGCUGACCAUCAAUAAUAUUGGCAUCAUGAAAGGAGGAGCGAAGGAAUACUGGUUUGUCCUGACUGCUGAGAAUCUGUCCUGGUACAAAGAUGAUGAGGAGAAAGAGAAGAAGUACAUGCUGCCAUUAGACAACCUGAAGCUCAGAGAUAUAGAGAAGAGUUUCAUGUCCAGCAAGCACGUGUUUGCUCUCUUUAACACCGAACAAAGGAACGUGUAUAAAGACUAUAGGCAGCUUGAGCUGGCUUGCGACACUCAAGAGGAGGUGGACAGCUGGAAGGCGUCCUUCCUACGAGCUGGAGUUUACCCAGAGCGCAUCACUGAUAAAGAGAAGCAGAGUGAUGCUAGUGAGGAGAACGGCUCAGAUGGCUUUAUGCACUCCAUGGAUCCUCAGCUUGAGAGGCAGGUGGAGACCAUCAGGAACCUUGUGGAUUCCUACAUGGCCAUUGUCAAUAAGACUGUGCGGGACCUCAUGCCCAAGACCAUCAUGCAUCUCAUGAUCAACAACACUAAGGAAUUCAUCCAUGCUGAGUUGUUGGCUAACUUGUACUCAUGUGGAGACCAGAACUCUCUGAUGGAGGAGUCAGCAGAACAGGCUCAGCACAGGGAGGAGAUGCUGCGCAUGUACCACGCUCUGAAAGAGGCCCUCAACAUCAUCGGGGACAUCAGCACCAGCACCGUCACCACUGCCAUGCCCCCGCCGGUGGAUGACUCCUGGCUGCAGGUACAAGGAGGACCUUCAGGGCGCAGAUCUCCCAUGUCUAGUCCCACUCCCCAGCGUCGGGCCCCACCUGGGCCCCCUCGUCCAGGUGGACGCACCGCCCCAGGGCCCCCUACCGCUGGAGCACCUCCUGUGCCAUCCAGACCUGGAGCCUCUCCUGACCCUUUCAGCGCCCCCCCGCCCCAAGUCCCCUCUCGUCCCAACCGCGGCCCACCAGGUGUCCCAAGCCCUUCUGCCCUGACCUGAUCCCUGGUCUUUAACACAAGAAAGACAGAUCAGUAACACUCUUCCUGCUAUUUCUACUUCUCUCGCCUGUCACAAUCCAUUACUUUUUCUCAGCUCACACUCACACAUUUUUUUCAACUACGCUGGUUUUCUUUCUCCAUCUCCUUGCCAUGUGCAUAUUCAUUCAAACAUUGUUUUAAAUCAUUCAGUUCACGUAUUGUUUGUACUAUAUAGUAUCAUCAGUGCAUCAGCUUUGUGAGAUCAUUCUCUCAUGAUAUACAUGUUUGGGAGGAAAAUGUAAGGGAAACUGACCAGUUAAACGGGACAAACCAUGGAGAUGAUACGUUUUUGCUUCCUUCCAUUGCCUCUUUUCUGUCGACCCAUGUUCUCCUCAAACACAGUCCCACUAAAUCCCUUCCACAAUGAUUCCGGUUAUUGUUUCAGAAUUUCAAUCAGUGACCAAUGAGGAGUUACGCAAAUGUCGGAGAGCGCCAGCCUCCCCCACCAGAUCCAACAGAGACUCGAUCACUGAGCAUUAACACUGGUGAUCAGCAGACAGAGGAAAACCACUGACCCCUCUGCCACUAUAUCACAUGCAUGCACACAAGCACAGUCCACAUACAUAUCACAUGUUUACUUGAAAGAGUAUUUACUCUUCCACAAAUAUACACCGGGAAUAUUAUAAAUUGAUCUAAUAAUUGUAUACAUGAGCGCAGAUGUGGUGCCAUUAUAUUCCAUUACCAGCAUAUAUCCUGUAUUUAGGAAUGAAGAACACUAGUUACAGAUGCACAGGGAUUGUCCAUGUACCAGCCUAUUUCACUGUUUGCUUCAGCAUUUAUGCACAUGGAUGCUAGAUGACAUUGUCAUGUUUUUGCCUUUAUUAGCAACUACUAAGCCUUAACCAGCAUCUGACUGACCAGUUCUUAACCCCUGAAUAAACAUGACCUGCAUGCUUUUCUUAAAAAAUACCAUGCUACUUGUCCUACUGCUUCAUUAAAUUCUAUGUUGCAGUCAUAUUUUCUUUCUUAAAGUAAGUUUCAUCUUACUCUUCUGGAUUUUUAUAUUGCCUUAUAUUAAACAGUUUGGAUUAUUUCAUUUUUUUAAAGAUCACCACGUUUUAACAAGUUUUUUGAUUCUGUCUGAAUGUUAUAUUGCACCUUUCUGAGACUGAUUAACUUUAAAAAGCGUUAACAGUAAAUCAUACAAAAAAAAUGUAAGCGAGAAUUGGUUCAUAUUCAGAACUGGUUUCAAUUUUUAAAAAUUCAUAAAAGUUCAUAAGACGUGUAGUUAAAAAUAAAGUAGAUUUUAUACGAUUUGUCUGGAGAAUUUGCUAUAAAAAAUGAAUAAAUUCAAUGUUUUGACCAUUUUCGUUAAACUAAAUUGUUAUUUGGCAGUAAAAAUUGCAUCUUUUUUUUACCCCAAAAAACUAAAAGAAUUGUUACGGAAUCAGAAUCAUUUAGAGGAAUCACAGCUGGAGCUGUUAAAUUCUAUAUAUCUGAAAAGAGAAAAAAACAUAUGUGACCCUGGACGACAAAACCAGUCUUAAGUGUCAAUUUUUUUCGAAAUUGAGAUUUAUACAUCAUCUGAAUAAAUAAGCUUUCCAUUGAUGUAUGGUUUGUUAGGAUCGGACAAUAUUUGGCUGAGAUACAACUAUUUGAAAAUCUGGAAUCUGAGGGUGCAAAAGAAGUUUAAAGUUGCCCAAAUGAAGUUCUUAGCAAUGCAUAUAACUAAUCAAAAAUUAAGUUUUGAUACAUUUACGGUAAGAAAUUUACAAAAUAUCUUCAUGGAUCAUGAUCUUUACUUAAUAUCAUAAUGAUUUUUGGCAUCAAAGAAAAAUGGAUAAUUUUGACCCAUACAAUGUAUUUUUGGCUAUUGCUACAAAUAUACCCCAGUGACUUAAGGUCCAGUGUCACAUAUAUUCUUCACAUUUGUCAUCACCAUCACAUUCACAAGUGCUAAUAUUAUCUUAAGUGAACAAAACAAGCCAUCAUACCCACUUGACAUUGACAAACCCAUUCUCCUUACUAUCCAUGCUGUCAUUUCCCAAGCUUUUUUCCUUUUUUUUUUUUUUGUUUUAUUUGUUGUUCUUUUUUGUCUUUUAGCCGCCCAAACAAAGGAAGCCCUUCUCACAGUGAGAAUCCACAAACUUCAUUUGACUCUUAGAGUCAAUCGUCCUUCCUCCUCCUCCUCCCCUCUUUCUGUCUCUCCACCGCCUCUCUUUCUCUUUGCUUUUCCUCUGACCAAGUGCAUCCUGGGAUUGCUGAAUGCCGAGCGUUACUGCAGCAGCAAGUACGGAUGAAGUGACUGAAAGAAAAGGCAGAAAGAUAAAUGAAGAAUGCGGGAGAGCACAUUCCCUCUGUCUGUACUAUAUACACUAAUCACAUUGUAAGGGGCAUCUGAAUAAUACGCCCAGUGUGGACUUGUGUCAACAUACAAAGUCACUGCAAUGUUAAUUAUACUGAAGAUGCUGUGUGGUGUUUGUGUUUACACACUAGUCAACGUCGACUUGAUCUAUAUAGAGGUGUUACACGAGCUAAAGGUGUAAGCUUACAUUCCUGUCUGCACGCCAGUAUACAGGAUAGCGGAUACACAAAUAUAAACUUCACUAUUUUUGCACUUGUUAUGUGGUACUAUGUGUGAAUGUACUCUUCCUGAAAGUUUGAACGUUAUUUGAUCCCACAGUGUUUGUUUUGGCCACAAUGUAUCUUGUAUAUUCCCUAGCAAAAGUCCUGUCUGAUUGAAAUGUACAUAUAUUAGAAUAUAUAUAUAUUAUGAAGUGUCUGGUAUGAAAAAAAGUCUCAGAAUUAUGUUUGUUACUUUCAAGUCGGUGCGAUUUAUUUAUCUGUUGAUGCAGUAGUUGAAAAUGUCCGACCAAAGAGAAUGGUUAGUGAAUCAAUCUGUCUGCAGUUGGAAUGUUAUUGAUAAAUAAAUUCAAGAAUCCUUCAUACCCUGACAUGAGUUUAAAUGAAUAUAACAUCUGUUCUGACUGAUUAUAUGGUGAACAGAUUCUGUUACUGUGUUGAUGUAUAUUUGUUGUGCAUCUCUGGGAGUUGUGCUUCUGUUGCCUUGUGUCAUGUACAUUUACUAAGUAUUGAUAAUGAAGUCAUUAUAUUGAAAAUGAACUGAUUGUAAAAUACAAGUUUACGGUUAGUAUGUGUGUGUAUAUACAUACUGUAUAUGGAGGGGUCUGCGGGCAACACCAAAAUCUCCACUCUGUAGUGGAACGGGUGUGUGUGUGAAUCUUACUACUGCCAUGUGUAUCUUAUUGUGGUCUGGUGUCAUAAACUGGCCAAUGCUUUGUGAUGAAAUUAAAGUGUCUUUGUG
Molecule: RNA transcript, 6054 nt
Organism: Onychostoma macrolepis
Lineage: Eukaryota; Metazoa; Chordata; Actinopteri; Cypriniformes; Cyprinidae
Gene: dnm1b
Gene name: dynamin 1b
Exons: 23
Source: RefSeq, a predicted model, not a curated record